RNAcentral lists this ribosomal RNA (253 nucleotides) under uncultured bacterium. Its description in RNAcentral is "partial 16S ribosomal RNA". It matches the Rfam family "Bacterial small subunit ribosomal RNA", at positions 524 to 776 of the family's 1533-position model. The record is from RNAcentral.
GACGUAGGGCGCGAGCGUUGUCCGGAUUUAUUGGGCGUAAAGAGCUCGUAGGCGGCUUGUCGCGUCGGCUGUGAAAUCCCGUGGCUCAACUGUGGGCGGGCAGCUGAUACGGGCAGGCUGGAGUUCGGUAGGGGAGACUGGAAUUCCUGGUGUAGCGGUGAAAUGCGCAGAUAUCAGGAGGAACACCGGUGGCGAAGGCGGGUCUCUGGACGACUCCUGACACUGAGGCACGAAAGCUAGGGGAGCAAACAGG